This 73-nucleotide transfer RNA is filed under the name Colletotrichum noveboracense. RNAcentral describes it as "tRNA-Cys". It matches the Rfam family "tRNA". From Rfam's summary of the family: Transfer RNA (tRNA) molecules are approximately 80 nucleotides in length. Their secondary structure includes four short double-helical elements and three loops (D, anti-codon, and T loops). Lineage: Eukaryota; Fungi; Ascomycota; Sordariomycetes; Glomerellales; Glomerellaceae. The record is from RNAcentral.
GCCCUUGUAGCUCAAUUGGUAGAGCGUCGGCCUGCAGAGCUGAAGGUCGCUGGUUCAAACCCGGCCGAGGGUU